GUGGGGAAUCUUCCGCAAUGGACGAAAGUCUGACGGAGCAACGCCGCGUGAGUGAAGAAGGUUUUCGGAUCGUAAAGCUCUUUCGUUAGGGACGAACGUGCUCUUUGUGAAUAAUGAGGAGUAAUGACGGUACCUAAAUAAGAAGCCACGGCUAACUACGUGCCAGCAGCCGCGGUAAUACGUAGGUGGCAAGCGUUGUCCGGAAUUAUUGGGCGUAAAGCGCGCGCAGGCGGGAUAUCAAGUCUGUCUUAAAAGUGCGAGGCUCAACCUCGUGAGGGGACAGAAACUGGUAUUCUUGAGUGUCGGAGAGGAAAGUGGAAUUCCAAGUGUAGCGGUGAAAUGCGGAGAGAUUUGGAAGAACACCAGUGGCGAAGGCGACUUUCUGGACGAUGUCUGACGCUGAGGCGCGAAAGCUAGGGGAGCGAACGGGAUUAGAUACCCUAGUAGUCC
RNAcentral lists this ribosomal RNA (450 nucleotides) under uncultured bacterium. RNAcentral's name for it is "partial 16S ribosomal RNA". It matches the Rfam family "Bacterial small subunit ribosomal RNA", at positions 354 to 796 of the family's 1533-position model. The record is from RNAcentral.